UCAUCGCAGGCUCGCCGCGGAUCUAAAGGGCUCUUUUCUUAAAAGGGGGGCUCUUGCUCCUCUGUAUUUCUCUUCCGUGCUAGAGUUAUCAAAACUAUACAGUAUCAUCGGUUCCCCUGAUGUAGGGCAUCUUGCGAAAAGAAUGCGAACAUAGCAAGUGCUGGGUUCUGAAAGGGAGAGCGCUAGGACAGAAAACGUUUAAGGGGAUAGGAAAAAUAAUUUUAGAAGAGCGGUUUUCUGAGAUUAAUCCUUUGGCUGGAGAAGUUCAAGAGGAAUAAAUGACAAGAGAGUUGUGUUUUACAACAGAUUUUUUUUUUCUUUUUUGGACCAGAUGAUUUUAAAAUAUUAUUCUUUAAUUCUCUUCUCAGAUGAUUGACACUAACUCCAUCAAUAAUUAAGCCAGCAGCUGUUAAUGCCUUGGCGUAACAGCACAGGGUAAAUAUGUGAACGUCCAGUCAAAUCAGUGCUAUUCUCCAGGGUGGGUUUGGGAUUUGACAAGCACACAUGCGCAUCAUCUUCGAGCUUUUAAGGAGCGGUUUAUGCCUGCCUCGGAAUUAAGGGUUAUUGCAGGAACCUGAGGUACCAGUGUGAGAAGGAGCAUGAUCUGACAGAAGUUUUUCUAUUUUUAGAAUUCUAAAUAUCUUCACGUCCAGUGCAAAGAGCAAGACCUGACUCUCUGCUGCACAGAGGAAGUGAUGCUCAAGAAGCCAGAUUCACACUUUCACUCAAUCAUUUCAGCAACAGGGCAAUGCUCUUCAGCAAUAAUGUGUGGAUCCUAUUGCUCCAGCCAGUUCAUUUAUCCCCAGUCUAGCAGAGCAGUGUCACGAUGAGCCUACAGACAAGUGAAUCUCACACUUGUCAUUUUUUUUCGAGACAAUCCAAGAAUGAAGAAAAGGUCAGUUUUACAGCUCAAUUCUGAAUACAUCAAAUGAGCACAUAACAGGAAACUACCAAGUGAAGAAUAGCCUAGAAAAGAAUCAGAGUUAGAAAACAGCCAACAAAAAGUAGUAGGCCAAUAGGUUAUAGACUGAGUACCCAAUUUUUGCUAUUGUUGAAUGUCUUCUAACUUCGCUGUGAAUUUUAAGUACCAGCAGAUUUCCUGUGCUCCCAUACGAGAGAGAAACUGCGCCUGUAGGUGACAAGCACAACUUGAAGCUGCAGUAUGUCACUUAUCUGCUAUCGUGACAAUGCCAGAAGUAAACAGGACAAAAGAUAAUGGCUCUUAACCAAGGCUAAUAUUCCCGAGUAGCAAAAAUGUGCUUUUUCAAUUUGAUUUGUUUUUCAUAGAAAGAAACGGAGAAAACCAGGAGGCUCUGAAAAUAUUAUAUUUAUUUUAGCCAAGCCAAAUGGAUUCACUGCAUCGAAAGGUAACAUUUUGAAGUUCAAAACAGAGACUGCUUCUUUCUAAGCAUACAUUUCAUCCAUGGAGGUUGGGUCCUGUCCUUUCCUUCGGGGGGUGAAGCUUAUGAACAUUCACGACAGAAGGUAUUUCAUAAUUCUUUUUUAUUGUUUUCCGUGCUCAUCAGACAUUUCAUCAUAUGGUGAUUUUCAAAGAGAGGUG
Molecule: long non-coding RNA, 1561 nt
Organism: Bubalus bubalis (water buffalo)
Lineage: Eukaryota; Metazoa; Chordata; Mammalia; Artiodactyla; Bovidae
Exons: 4
Source: RefSeq, a predicted model, not a curated record